RNAcentral lists this small RNA (546 nucleotides) under Microascus chartarum. RNAcentral describes it as "eukaryotic LSU rRNA". It matches the Rfam family "Eukaryotic large subunit ribosomal RNA", at positions 50 to 602 of the family's 3401-position model. Lineage: Eukaryota; Fungi; Ascomycota; Sordariomycetes; Microascales; Microascaceae. The record is from RNAcentral.
GCGGAGGAAAAGAAACCAACAGGGAUUGCCCCAGUAACGGCGAGUGAAGCGGCAACAGCUCAAAUUUGAAAUCUGGUCCCCUUGCGGGGCCCGAGUUGUAAUUUGAAGAGGAUGCUUCUGGCAAGGUGCCUUCCGAGUUCCCUGGAACGGGACGCCGCAGAGGGUGAGAGCCCCGUACGGUAGGACGCCGAGCCUCUGUGAAGCUCCUUCGACGAGUCGAGUAGUUUGGGAAUGCUGCUCAAAAUGGGAGGUAAACCCCUUCUAAAGCUAAAUACCGGCCAGAGACCGAUAGCGCACAAGUAGAGUGAUCGAAAGAUGAAAAGCACUUUGAAAAGAGAGUUAAAAAGCACGUGAAAUUGUUGAAAGGGAAGCGCUUGCGACCAGACUCGCGCCCGUCGGAUCAGCCGUCGCUUGUCGGCGGCGCACUCCGGCGGGCUCGGGCCAGCAUCAGUUCGCCUGGGGGGAGAAAGGCGGCAGGAAUGUGGCUCCUCGGAGUGUUAUAGCCUGCCGUGUAAUACCUCCGGGCGGACUGAGGACCGCGCGUAG